UUGAAAGGGAAACGAUUGAAGUCAGUCGUACCAGCGGGAAUCAACCUUUCGAGUGGGGGUUUUGGAGUUUUGAAGAGUUUCAAAACCUUUGAGAUUUUAAAAUUUUCGCUCUUUUGGUGUACUUUCUCGUGGGUAGGUUAACAUCGAUUUUGAUCAUCAUAAAAAGACUGGAGGAAUGUAGCUUCGAUCUUGUAUUGAAGUGUUAUAGCCUUUGGUAAAUGUGAUGAUUAGGAUCGAGGAUUGCAACGAAUACCCUUCUGGGCUAUCCUGCCUGAUCUCUGAUACGUGGCCUUGGCAUCGAAAGCUUGCUUAUGGUAUCAAGGUAUUACGGUCAAAAGGUUAGAACGGAUUACAUUCGUUAAGGAUGUUGACGUA
This 375-nucleotide ribosomal RNA is filed under the name uncultured Glomeromycotina. Its description in RNAcentral is "LSU rRNA". The record is from RNAcentral. Lineage: Eukaryota; Fungi; Glomeromycota.